CGCCGCCCUCAAAUCCUCUUCGUCUCAAAUUCUCUCUAGCUCCUCUGAAACCAUAGCCCUAUCUCACCGUCUUCCACCAUGUUCCAUCGAAAUCCAUGGCAUCCUCGAGCCUUGGGUGGCUGUACUCACCUCCACAUGCUCUUGUACGCCUGCUACUGAAGGAUUCAAGGUCUGACCUUGAAGAUUUUCGCUCAGUUCAUCGCCGAUUCAAGCUUCCCCGGCCAUCUCCGGCAUGUCCUGGUCCUACGAGUCUAUCUCUGGCUCACCUGGCUCAGAGCAGACCUUUUUCCAGGCCUUUCUCGCUUCUAGGGUUCUUCUGAAACCCUAGCCCUUCAAGGUUUUCCUAUAUUCCUUUAUACCCGCUCUAGAUCUGUGCUUGUUUCAAAGUUUACAAAAUGAUUUUCUUAAAUUUUAAAAAAGUUUGCUUUCAAAAAAUUCGUCUUCUCCGAUUUAGGGUUCUUUGAUUUUACUUGUUCUACUGUGAUUUUAUGAGGUGUUCUUACAUUAUUUGUCCUACUGUGAUUCCUGUUUGUUCCUACUCCGACUCAUGUAUGCUUCUUCUAUUAUAUUUCCUUCUAUUUUUUCUUUUACUGUUCUUUCCCUCAGCAUGUUUCACGGAACAAUUAAGUUCCUUUGUGUUUUUCUGAGUUUUGCUCUUGUCUGACUUUUCCGUCUUCAUCCCUACACUGGGUUAAUGACGAAAAACCAAGAAUUUGGGGGUUUUUCAGAUCUGAUUUGUCUGUCUUCAUCCCUACACCCCUCAGCAUGUUUCACGGAACAAUUAAGUUCCUUUGUGUUUUUCUGAGUUUUGCUCUUGUCUGAUUUGUCUGUCUUCAUCCCUACACGAGAUUACAGAUGAACAAACCCUAAAAUUUGGGGAUUUUUCAGACCACGUGUAUGUGACUUGCAUGUUCUCACCUCUAAACUAGUUUGAUUUCGAUUUUUGAAAAGUCAUCUCUAUUUUUCAUACGAUUCUGACCUUUUGUGUUUUAAGUGUUUGUAUGCUCUUUAUAUACUGUGAUUUUUCCCCUAAAACUGGUCUUUCAAAUUUGCAGUUAGUUUGAAAUUCCUUCUCAACACAGCUUGAUUGAUUUCUUUCCAUUUUUUGCCCACGAAUCGACCUAAAUAAAAACCCUUCUCUUUUUAGGCUAGGUUCAUUCGUAUAAAAUCUCAGACCUUUGAUUUUACUGUUUAUUAAUUGUUCAUCUUACCUUAUUUGCACAAACCGUGUGUUUCAAAAACGUUUCCUUAAAUAACUUUAUGUAUUCACCCUUAUUUGUAUUCUAUGCACAUGUUGUUUACUUGAUCCCCUUUCAUUAAAUAUUUUCUUCCUUUAUUGAUCAAAUUAGGAUUCCUUAAUUUAAGUAAUCUCUGUUAGUUGAUUGAUCUUAAUUGAUACUCGACUAAUUUUCUUUCCUUUCUUGCAUGUCUGAUUUCAAGUAUAAAUACAUGUUUUUUUUUACUUUAACAUUCAAUUCUAACAACAAAUAAAAAUCAGAAUUCAUCUCUCCUCUUUACUGCUACUAUCACUACUCUCUAUUGAGCAUUCUAUACUUGCACUUUUUGCUGCUUGAACUCCUAGACACUUGGGAAUUUCUUGAGUUUGUUCUUGCUUAUUCCUGGUUGUUUGUCUGCUGCUGUUAGUCUGCUAUCCUAGAAUCUAUAACUGGUAUGCUCUUUUAUGUUACACAACAUCCCUGUUCAAUUUCUCUGCUUCUACCCCUUUUCUUUGUGUGCUCAUUUAUGCUUUCCUGCACUAUUUAAUUACUUUCAAGCAUGUUAAUCCCUUUCCCCUACCCCCUUUGUAUGUGAGUUUGUCUUGGGUUAUAGCAGCAUUAUGAAUUGUUGUAUGUGAUUUAGGACUAGACUCUUCUUAGUCUCUACUCGACUGCUUUCCCAUUCCCUUUCCCAUCAAUGUGCUGAGCUCUAAUUUGGGUCUGUUAAUGUCCAGAUCAUCAUUCAGACCUGAGUUUGACUCUUUAAGAGUCCGCUCUUUGCUUGAAUCCAAGUGGAAGGUUAGGGGUGUGCCAGUCGAUGCCAUGACGGGGUAUGACCACCUCCUGCUGAGGUUUCUCUCUCAUUUUACACCUACUCCUAGCUCUUAGGUUCUACCCCCCUCAGGUAAGCCAUGCUUCGGGACCCUAGAGUUCCCUUUGAACUUGGAUUCCUAAAGGCUGGUAAUUCCACACAUUGCACUACUCUGUUUCAACAUUCAAUCUUUAGAGUGUAAGCAUUUCCUAUGCUCUUGAAGCUCCUUGGAACUUUGAAACACUCUAAGAGAAGGCCUUGGA
This 2291-nucleotide long non-coding RNA is filed under the name Nicotiana benthamiana. Its description in RNAcentral is "long non-coding RNA (NBEN_LNC035153)". Lineage: Eukaryota; Viridiplantae; Streptophyta; Magnoliopsida; Solanales; Solanaceae. The record is from RNAcentral.